CAGCUCAGCCUGUGAUCAUGGGAUUGCUACAAGACCAUCCAUCACCACCAUUAAGAAGAUCAGCGUUCAUGGUUAUCGAGGUUUUCUGAUGUUUGAAAGAAACUUGGCUGACGUGAAUGUGAGGGUCGAACUAUUCAGCAGAUUGGAAGGCAUUAAGGUAUUUUUCAACACUGGCCACAUGAUCAAAGUUGGUAACAAUUCCGGAAGAAGAUCUACAGACGGAUUUAUAUUUGAUGACAAUGAUAAAAUUAAUGCAGCAACAAUGUGGCAAGAAAAUAGAUAUUUUGAUGGAUUCACAUUUGAGGUCGCCAACAGUAAUGGUACAGUAAAAACAUAUUCUGCCAAGUGUACGGAUCUGUCUGAGCCUGUGAAGAUUGAUGUGAAGUCUGGAAAAUGUUACGGCAUUACAGCAAGAUGUGGAGAAAAAUGUACUCCAAGCGCUCGGAUUCUACUUCAUUUAGAUUCUCAGUAAUGAAAGUAAUAAUGCAGAGAUGAAAAUAUAGCAUAGUGUGAGAUUUGAAUCAAUAAAUAAUACUUGUACAUGUUUUCAAGCACACACAGAAUCAAAAAUUUGAGAUUUAUUGUAAUGUAACAAUGGUGGUUGUUAAAAAGGUGAAAAGCAAUUGAUAUUUGAUGUGUUUAAUGUGUUGUUUUUAAUUCAUUAAUUUAAUGGUUUCAUUUAAUCAAAUAAUCAUGUGUAUUUAUUAGUCAUUUAUAUAUGUUUAUUUGAUUAUUUUUGGAAUGUAAUUAUUUAGAUCAAUUAUUUUGGUUAUUUAAAGUCUACAUAAACUGGAAGUUGUUGAUGCUUUUCAGUGUGUUGAUGUACUUCAGACUAAAACAGAAUAUUGAGUAGGGGCAGGGCUUUCUUUUUGCAAAUAAUUUGAAUUUUACGGUAUCACCCUAUGAAAGGGGCUAGUCUCUUUAAGCAAACUAACAGUAAGAGUGGUGCGGUUAAGAAUAUUGUAGGGGGAAAAAAUCAGAGAAUUAACUUGUUCACAUAAAUAACAUAAUAAUGUGUGGUUGCAAAAUAAGCAUUGUUAAUUUUGAUUUCAGAUGACUUUGCACAAUGUACAAUGUAAUGUAAUGUCAAUGGACAAUGUUGCAAAGCAAUAAUUGUCCAUUGCUAUUGCUUAUGGUAUAAUAAAACUACUGAUCAAAGGGAAACAUAAAGGCUAACCAAGAUUUAAUAAACACUUUUU
Non-coding RNA from Danio rerio (zebrafish), 1199 nucleotides. Lineage: Eukaryota; Metazoa; Chordata; Actinopteri; Cypriniformes; Danionidae. The record is from RefSeq and is a predicted model, not a curated record.